This 490-nucleotide ribosomal RNA is filed under the name uncultured bacterium. RNAcentral describes it as "partial 16S ribosomal RNA". It matches the Rfam family "Bacterial small subunit ribosomal RNA", at positions 28 to 507 of the family's 1533-position model. The record is from RNAcentral.
GAUGAACGCUAGCUACAGGCUUAACACAUGCAAGUCGAGGGGCAGCAUGGUCUUAGCUUGCUAAGGCCGAUGGCGACCGGCGCACGGGUGAGUAACACGUAUCCAACCUGACGUCUACUCUUGGACAGCCUUCUGAAAGGAAGAUUAAUACAAGAUGGCAUCAUGAGUUCACAUGUUCACAUGAUUAAAGGUAUUCUGGUAGACGAUGGGGAUGCGUUUCAUUAGAUAGUAGGCGGGGUAACGGCCCACCUAGUCUUCGAUGGAUAGGGGUUCUGAGAGGAAGCACACCCACAUUGGAACGGGGACACGGUCCAAACUCCUACGGGAGGCAGCAGUGAGGAAUAUUGGUCAAUGGGCGAGAGCCUGAGCCAGCCAAGUAGCGUGAAGGAUGACUGCCGUAGGAGUUGUGAACUUCUUUUAUAAAGGAAUAAGGUCGGGUAUGUAUACCCAUGUGCAUUUACUUUAUGAAUAAGGAUCGGCUAACUCCGUG